UUCUUUUCCUUUUUCUACCAUGCAGUCGACGAUGAACCGCAUUUCGGGCGGGGAUUAGUGGCGAACGGGUGAGUAACACGUGGGCAAUCUGCCCUGCACUCUGGGACAAGCCCUGGAAACGGGGUCUAAUACCGGAUAUGACCGUCUGCCGCAUGGUGGAUGGUGUAAAGCUCCGGCGGUGCAGGAUGAGCCCGCGGCCUAUCAGCUUGUUGGUGAGGUAGUGGCUCACCAAGGCGACGACGGGUAGCCGGCCUGAGAGGGCGACCGGCCACACUGGGACUGAGACACGGCCCAGACUCCUACGGGAGGCAGCAGUGGGGAAUAUUGCACAAUGGGCGAAAGCCUGAUGCAGCGACGCCGCGUGAGGGAUGACGGCCUUCGGGUUGUAAACCUCUUUCAGCAGGGAAGAAGCGAAAGUGACGGUACCUGCAGAAGAAGCGCCGGCUAACUACGUGCCAGCAGCCGCGGUAAUACGUAGGGCGCAAGCGUUGUCCGGAAUUAUUGGGCGUAAAGAGCUCGUAGGCGGCUUGUCACGUCGGUUGUGAAAGCCCGGCGCUUAACCCCCGGCCCGCAGCCGAUACAGGUAAGCAAAA
RNAcentral lists this ribosomal RNA (593 nucleotides) under Streptomyces sp. Its description in RNAcentral is "bacterial SSU rRNA". It matches the Rfam family "Bacterial small subunit ribosomal RNA", at positions 37 to 645 of the family's 1533-position model. The record is from RNAcentral. Lineage: Bacteria; Bacillati; Actinomycetota; Actinomycetes; Kitasatosporales; Streptomycetaceae.